Molecule: long non-coding RNA, 1064 nt
Filed under: Oryctolagus cuniculus (rabbit)
Lineage: Eukaryota; Metazoa; Chordata; Mammalia; Lagomorpha; Leporidae
Description: lncRNA (ENSOCUG00000031134.1)
Source: RNAcentral
UGAGUUGAAAAGUCUGUUAUUGACACAUAGCUUGAAAUCCAGUCUCAAAGACAGGGUUAGCGUGUCAUCCAUGCCCCAGAACCCUGCUUACAAAAUCCAUCUCUGGGCCCUGUAAUCCAAAACAAAUACAUAGGAAGUUAAAGGCUGUUAAUACUCCACAGGGAACUGGAAGAGAAAUGUAACAUUUGCCAUUCAGUAAGGGUUCAGGGUCAAUCUCGUUAUCAGCAUUAUACCUAUGAACAUUUGCAUAUUUGUAACAGUUUUCUUUUACUUAUAUGUUUACUUAAUUUUAUGCUGAUGAAUCAUCCUCAUGGACAUGAAAUCACUAAAAAUUCCAUGAAGAGUUGGGUGUCUUUUAUUUUGGGAAAGGAAGCAAAGCCUGCAGCAAGAGAACCAUGCUCAUUGGAGGUGCAGGUGGUAUUUCGGAAAAUGAGCGUGGGCGAAGCACUAGGAUGCUUGUCUUUCCCCUUUGCAAGCUUCAGCAUGGUCCUGUACACGUAGGUCCAGUGGAUGAUUGGAAAUUCCCAAAUGCCUAACACUCAGAAGUAUGCUUUUGGCAUGUUAGGUAAGAAUGAGUUCAUGCUGAAGGCACAUCUCACGAGGAGAACCUGUACUAUCUCUCUUGGAUCAGCAUUCCAUCAAAGAAUAGUUCCAACUGACGAUAUCACCCUGUUUUCUGUAGGAAAAAAGUACACACACACACACACACACAACACAUGUCAUCAGUAGAGAUUUUGAAAAGAGAGGGCAUCGUGCCCUUUGGUUCCUAUGUUAAUUGGAAAGAAGAGGCGAGGUGCAUGUGUAUGUGCGUAUAUCUAUCUAUCUAUCUAUCUACCUAUCUAUCUAUCAUCUAUCUAUCUCUCUGUGUGUGUGUGUGAUUUUUAUAGAUUCAAAGGAAAAAGGAUAGUUAUAAACUGGGUGAACAGUUAGGAUGGGAAACAAAGAAACUUUCACCAAGUCUUGCCUGUUCAAACACGCUAUCUUUUUUUUUUUUUCCUUAAGGGAAAACUUCUGAAGCUGGUUUGCAAUUGUUAAGCUAAUCUGUGGCCAAGGAGAGAAAAAAA